CAGUUGACCCAAGGUGCAGGCCUCUGCAGCCCCAGCUUGAGUCACCCAACUGGCCCUGCCCAGGACGGAUCCAUCCUCAGGAAUGGUUCUGAUGACAGAAGACUGUCCAGGAAGGCUGGCUCACCCCAGCUCCCCCUACCUGCUCCUCAGCUCAUGUGUGUACGACCUGGUGACUGGGGUGGGGUCUCUCACCGGCGGGCUGUGGCGGCCCUUGAGGCAGGUCCAGCUCUGGUGGGUGGCUGCUCCGCGUGAUGAUGACCGGCUCUUCCAUCACGUUGAUGCUGUUACACUGCAUGAGGUCCUGCAGCAGGUUGAAGAUGUCCUCUGCCCUCGAGCACUUGAAUGCAAAGAUGCCUGGGGAAGAAUGAAAAAGACAGCACAAUAUGUAAAAGCUGGACAGGACCAGAAGGACAGAAGUGGUGAUAUGUGGCUGUAACCUCACACUUGGGAGGGAUGAGGUGCAUGCCGGGAAAAGGCCCUUCAGCAAUCAACCCAGAACACGCAUUGCUUUGUGUUGUCUCGGGAGAGACAGCUCUGUCUGCGGCAGCACAAUCCCAAGGACUCCUG
Molecule: long non-coding RNA, 567 nt
Filed under: Mus pahari (shrew mouse)
Lineage: Eukaryota; Metazoa; Chordata; Mammalia; Rodentia; Muridae
Description: lncRNA (MGP_PahariEiJ_G0002802.1)
Source: RNAcentral